AUUGAACGCUGGCGGCAUGCCUUACACAUGCAAGUCGAACGGUAACGCGGGGCAACCUGGCGACGAGUGGCGAACGGGUGAGUAAUAUAUCGGAACGUGCCCAGUAGUGGGGGAUAGCCCGGCGAAAGCCGGAUUAAUACCGCAUACGACCUAAGGGUGAAAGCGGGGGAUCGCAAGACCUCGCGCUAUUGGAGCGGCCGAUAUCAGAUUAGGUAGUUGGUGGGGUAAAGGCCUACCAAGCCUACGAUCUGUAGCUGGUCUGAGAGGACGACCAGCCACACUGGAACUGAGACACGGUCCAGACUCCUACGGGAGGCAGCAGUAGGGAAUAUUGGACAAUGGGCGCAAGCCUGAUCCAGCCAUGCCGCGUGAGUGAAGAAGGCCCUCGGGUUGUAAAGCUCUUUUGUCCGGAAAGAAAAGCGCCGGGUUAAUACCCUGGUGUCCUGACGGUACCGGAAGAAUAAGCACCGGCUAACUUCGUGCCAGCAGCCGCGGUAA
RNAcentral lists this ribosomal RNA (498 nucleotides) under uncultured bacterium. Its description in RNAcentral is "bacterial SSU rRNA". It matches the Rfam family "Bacterial small subunit ribosomal RNA", at positions 30 to 523 of the family's 1533-position model. The record is from RNAcentral.